This 207-nucleotide ribosomal RNA is filed under the name uncultured bacterium. RNAcentral's name for it is "partial 16S ribosomal RNA". It matches the Rfam family "Bacterial small subunit ribosomal RNA", at positions 568 to 774 of the family's 1533-position model. The record is from RNAcentral.
CACGUAGGCGGAUCGUAAAGUCAGAGGUGAAAUCCCAGGGCUCAACCUUGGAACUGCCUUUGAAACUUCCGGUCUUGAGUUCGAGAGAGGUGAGUGGAAUUCCGAGUGUAGAGGUGAAAUUCGUAGAUAUUCGGAGGAACACCAGUGGCGAAGGCGGCUCACUGGCUCGAUACUGACGCUGAGGUGCGAAAGCGUGGGGAGCAAACA